AAAACGGCUCUUUCCAGAGCCACACACUACCUGCAAUGAGUUUUGU
This is a non-coding RNA of Stegodyphus mimosarum, 46 nucleotides long. NCBI's taxonomy places the organism in Eukaryota, Metazoa, Arthropoda, Arachnida, Araneae, Eresidae. The record is from Rfam.